GAUGAACGCUGGCGGCGUGCCUAAUACAUGCAAGUCGAGCGAACAGACGAGGAGCUUGCUCCUCUGACGUUAGCGGCGGACGGGUGAGUAACACGUGGAUAACCUACCUAUAAGACUGGGAUAACUUCGGGAAACCGGAGCUAAUACCGGAUAAUAUAUUGAACCGCAUGGUUCAAUAGUGAAAGACGGUUUUGCUGUCACUUAUAGAUGGAUCCGCGCCGCAUUAGCUAGUUGUUAAGGUAACGGCUUACCAAGGCAACGAUGCGUAGCCGACCUGAGAGGGGGAUAGGCGACACUGGAACUGAGCCACGGUCAAGACUCCUACGGGAGGCAGCAGAAGGGAAUCUUCCGCAAUGGGCGAAAGCUUGACGGAGCAACGCCGAGUGAGAGAUGAAGGUCUUCGGAUCGUAAAACUCUGUUAUUAGGGAAGAACAAAUGUGUAAGUAACUAUGCACGUCUUGACGGUACCUAAUCAGAAAGCAACGGCUAACUACGUG
RNAcentral lists this ribosomal RNA (497 nucleotides) under uncultured bacterium. RNAcentral describes it as "partial 16S ribosomal RNA". It matches the Rfam family "Bacterial small subunit ribosomal RNA", at positions 28 to 507 of the family's 1533-position model. The record is from RNAcentral.